AUACUUACCCGGCAGGGGAGAUACCAUGAUCACAAAGGUGGUUUUCCCAGGGCGAGGCUCACCCAUUGCACUCCGGAUGUGCUGACCCCUGUGAUUUCCCCAAAUGUGGGAAACUCAACUGCAUAAUUUGUGGUAGUGGGGGACUGCGUUCGUGCUAAA
RNAcentral lists this small nuclear RNA (159 nucleotides) under Echinops telfairi (small Madagascar hedgehog). Its description in RNAcentral is "U1 spliceosomal RNA (ENSETEG00000021863.1)". It matches the Rfam family "U1 spliceosomal RNA". Rfam says of the family: U1 is a small nuclear RNA (snRNA) component of the spliceosome (involved in pre-mRNA splicing). Its 5' end forms complementary base pairs with the 5' splice junction, thus defining the 5' donor site of an intron. Lineage: Eukaryota; Metazoa; Chordata; Mammalia; Afrosoricida; Tenrecidae. The record is from RNAcentral.